Molecule: long non-coding RNA, 1179 nt
Filed under: Cyanistes caeruleus (blue tit)
Lineage: Eukaryota; Metazoa; Chordata; Aves; Passeriformes; Paridae
Description: lncRNA (ENSCCEG00000004222.1)
Source: RNAcentral
CCGUGUGUCACUGCGUGUCACCCGGACUGUCACCGCGUGUCACCGUGUGUCACCCCGAGCGUCACUGUGUGUCUCUAUGUGUCACCGUGUCACCGCGAGUGUCACUGUGUGUGUGUCACUGUCACUGUGUGUCACCGCGUGUCACCGUGUGUCACCCCGAGCGUCACCGUGUGUCUCUAUGUGUCACCAUGUCACCCCGAGUGUCACUGUGUGUCACUGCGUGUGUCACCGUGUGUCAUUGUAACUGUCACCAUGUGUCACUGUGUGUCACCCCGAGUGUCACCGUGUGUGUCACUGUCACCGUGUGUCACCGUGUGUCACCGCGUGUGUCACCCCAAGUGUCACCGUGUGUCACCCCGAGUGUCACCGUGUGUCACUGUGUGUCACUGUGUGUCACUGUGUGUCAUUGUAACUGUCACUGUGUGUCACCGUGUCACUGUGACUGUCACCGUGUGUCUCUGUGUCACCGUGUGUCACCCCGAGCGUCACUGUGUCUCUAUGUGUCACCGCGAGUGUCACCGUCUGUGUCACUGUGUGUCACUGUGUCGCUGUGUGUCACCGUGUGUCACUGUAACUGUCACCGUGUGUGUCUAUGUGUCACCGUGUGUCACCAUGUGUCACCGCGAGUGUCACCGUGUGUGUCGCUGUGUGUCACUGUGUGUCACCGUGUGUCAUUGUAACUGUCACCGUGUGUCACUGUGUGUCACCCCGAGUGUCCCCGAGUGUCACCUGUCUGUCCCCGCCCACCUUGACCUGCUCCUCCUUGUGCUCCCACCCAUUGUCCCCAUGUGUCCCCAUUGUCCCCAUUGUCCCCAGGUGUCCCCAGGUGUCCCCAGGUGUCCCCAGGUGUCCCCAAGUGCCACCCACCUUGACCUGCUCCUCCUUGCGCUCCCACCCAUUGUCCCCGAGUGUCCCCAGGUGUCCCCAAGUGUCCCCGACUGUCACUGUGACUGUCACACCAGGUGUCCCCAUUGUUCCCAAGUGUCCCCAUUGUCCCCGAGUGUCCCCAGGUGUCCCCAGGUGUCCCCAUUGUCCCCAAGUGUCCCCAGGUGUCCCCAGGUGUUCCCAGGUGUCCCCAGGUGUCCCCACCCACCUUGACCUGCUCCUCCUUGCGCUCCCACCAGGCGUCGAAGGCCCUGAAGGCCACGUUCUCCACCAUCUUCCUGUUGAGGUCCCUCU